GACGAACCGUGCGAACGUUGUUCGGAAUCACUGGGCUUAAAGGGCGCGUAGGCGGGCUCGCAAGUCAGGGGUGAAAGCCCACGGCUCAACCGUGGAAGUGCCUUUGAUACUGCGGGCCUUGAGGGAGGUAGGGGCGUGCGGAACUUCCGGUGGAGCGGUGAAAUGCGUAGAUAUCGGAAGGAACACCGGUGGCGAAAGCGGCGCGCUGGACCUCUACUGACGCUGAGGCGCGAAAGCCAGGGGAGCAAACGGG
Molecule: ribosomal RNA, 253 nt
Filed under: uncultured bacterium
Lineage: Bacteria
Description: partial 16S ribosomal RNA
Rfam family: Bacterial small subunit ribosomal RNA
Source: RNAcentral